UAUUAUUUGUGGAAGUUUUUUUUUUUUUUAAAUAAUCAAGUGCUAGAAGUCAUGGCUAUAAACAUAAACUAGGAACACAUUCGUAAGAUUCCUGAAUCCCAAGUGGGGAAAAUUAAAAUUUAUCCUGGGGAUGGUAGAGAACAUUUGGAAAUUUUGAGUAGAAACACAGUGAGAUAAGUGCAGUGUUUUGAGUAUUAUUAUUUACUUCAUAAAGGAAAAUAGUUUGGCAUUGGCACUGACCAUCACUUGUCACCAAGUAGUGACCUGCUAAUAUCUCCUAAAGUUCUCCUUUACAUUUAUAUCCCCUGAUGUGAAAAAGGAAAAGGUAUAAUCAAGAGUAAUGGCUUGACACCAAGCAAAAGAAAAUUUUAGGCUGUAGAUUAGAAAUAUUGCUGCAGGUGAGGAUAUUAAAAUGAGAUACAGCUACCAAAAAAAAAAAAACUGAUGAGGUGAGGUGCUGGAAUAAUUUAAAAUGACAUAAGUCAAAUUCCUGCUAAUAAUAAAGCUUGAAGAGUAAUUGGGAUGAGCAGCUGAAAUUAUAUGGGAUUUGUUUUUUUUUCUAAUUUUUGUGAUUAAUCUGUUAUGACAAAAGAAUUAUGUCUCUUCUUACAAAAAUGGCAUAAAUUUGAAAUAGCCAUAGAUAGCCUUUAAUCUUAUGUCUUGAAUUUUUACUUUUUGUUCAAGAAUACAUGGAAGAAGGCUUUGCAUCCCCCAGUGCCACUUUGUUUUCCUGUUUUUAGCCCUGAAGCUGGAGUCUUGGACAUGUCAGUGUCCCAUCUGGGAGAGGGUGAUCUCUUACAGCACACUUCCUCUUCCAACCUCCUUACCAAGACAUUCAUCACCACAUGCAUUCUUGACAUCCCACCCCCUCCAAGAAGCUGCAUUGAUGAACUGAGGAAAGGCAGCCUGAGUCCAAGGACAACUUUGUGACCCCUGAGGAAACCUAGGGUGUUUUUGGUACUUGAGGAUGGUAGAUAUUUGGAAGAGGGUAAGAAACUAAAACACUCUCUUUUAUUAAUGUCUCCACUGGGGUCAAAUGUUGUGAUAGACUGAGUUGCUUAAUGAGGUUAUACAUUCUACUAAGAAAUUAUUCAGACAUUAUUGAGAAGGGCAUUUAAAUAUUCACUAUAAUUAGAUAUUGCAGAGCCAAGGGUCUAAAAACUCCCUGAAUUUAUUUUUCUUGAAUAACAUAGUUUUCCUAAAUCAUAAAGAUGGUUGAGUACUGAAUGAAGUUCUGGGUAUAUCAAAGUAAAAACUAAACUGUUCAACCAAAAUAACAUGACUCUAAUAAAAAGUAUAUUAGAAAACA
RNAcentral lists this long non-coding RNA (1309 nucleotides) under Sus scrofa (pig). RNAcentral describes it as "lncRNA (ENSSSCG00055027936.1)". The record is from RNAcentral. Lineage: Eukaryota; Metazoa; Chordata; Mammalia; Artiodactyla; Suidae.